Molecule: ribosomal RNA, 254 nt
Filed under: uncultured bacterium
Lineage: Bacteria
Description: partial 16S ribosomal RNA
Rfam family: Bacterial small subunit ribosomal RNA
Source: RNAcentral
UACGUAGGGGGCAAGCGUUGUCCGGAAUCACUGGGCGUAAAGCGCGCGCAGGCGGUCAUCUACGUCUGGGGUGAAAGCCCGGAGCUCAACUCCGGGAUUGCCUUGGAUACGGGAUGACUUGAGGAUCGGAGAGGCAAGGGGAAUUCCACGUGUAGCGGUGAAAUGCGUAGAGAUGUGGAGGAACACCUGUGGCGAAGGCGCCUUGCUGGCCGAUUUCUGACGCUGAGGCGCGAAAGCGUGGGGGAGCAAACAGG